Molecule: long non-coding RNA, 1546 nt
Organism: Arachis stenosperma
Lineage: Eukaryota; Viridiplantae; Streptophyta; Magnoliopsida; Fabales; Fabaceae
Exons: 11
Source: RefSeq, a predicted model, not a curated record
UGCAAACAAGGCUAGCUUCUAGUAGCUUCGAGUGGGAUGGAGAGGGAGCAAGACCUAAUCAUAACCGUCGUCGUCGCCAUCGCCCUGCCGUUGCUACCGCCACAGCCACCGCCACUGCUACAGCCAUUCAUCUGCCAGCGGCGAAGAAAGCGAUGAAAAGCAAAGCUUCUCCUCCAAAAACAAAUUCUCUUCCCGCAAUGCUUCUUCCAAGUACGAUUUCAUUAAGGUGAAGGUGCGGUUGGGUGAUAAUGCGGAUCACUACUAUGUUCUGUCUAGAUUUUCGCUCAGUAGGUGCGGUUGGAUGAUAAUGCUGCAAUGUGGAUUCGAUUUGGAAAAUGGCCAGUGCUGGUUUAUCUGAAACUCUUUUGUCAGGAAUUGGAAAUUUGAGCCAUCUCCGAACAUUGUUACUACAGAACAAUCAGUUAUCUGGUCCUAUCGCGGCUGAGAUAGGCAAGUUGUCAGAGCUUCAAACACUAGACCUUUCCAGUAACCAGUUUGUUGGAGGAAUUCCUAGUUCUUUGGGCUUAUUGUCUCAACUAAGUUACUUCUUUUCAGGUGGCUCAGCAAAAAUAAUCUAUCUGGACAGAUCCCUCCACUUGUUACUAACUUGACAGGUCUUUCAUUUUUGCAUGUCCUCUACUCCUCUAUGAAACUUUGUAAUACCUUUACCUCCUCAAUCAGUCAAGUACAGUUCCAUAACCUUAUAUUUUUUGAAGGGACUUGUCAUUUAAUAAUCUCAGUGGUCCCACUCCAAAAAUUUUGGCAAAAGGUUACAUUAUUUCAGGAAAUAACUUCCUUUGUACAUCUCCUUCUGAACAUUGUAUGGACAUUUCAAAACCACUAAACGAAUUUCAGGUUUUUAUGAUGGCUGAGUCAGGAGUGAAAAAAUUCAGCCUAAACAUCAAGAAGACUGGAAAAGGUGUGCUCCCUAAAAAUGAAAAAGGUCCAUAUUACUAAUGCUAAAAUAUGGAAUGCAUAGGAUCUAAGUAUCAAGGAACUGGCUGAAUAGAUCAGCUUGAGAAGGGAAUGGUACGCAUAAAAGAAGAUCUAUCUUUGAAGCAUAUUUUAGAUGAGAUAGAGACGGGUGGUCCUACUGCUAUGAUGAGGUUUGGAUGGCAAAAUUUCUUAUCUUUUUGGCCAUUUCAAAAUUUCUAUCAGUUCAAUGUUUUCCAAAUUUUAAAUAGUUUCUGAAGUGUUUCAGGUUGUUUGUGCAAUUUGUAACACUGAGCAGCCGAUAGGAAAACAACAGAUUCAUUGUGACGAGUGUGAAAUCUGUAGGGUUGGUGGUCAAGAGAACUAUUUCCACUGUGAAAAGUGUGGGUCAUGCUAUUUAGUUACACUACGUGACAAUCAUUUGUGUGGAGAACUCCAUGGGCAUGUGCAUUACUGAAGCUUCUGUUAUUGCAAUUAUGUAGUUAUAUGAUAUUAAAACAUUGAAGUUAUUUUAUUUUAUUUUUUUUAAUGAAAAGCAAGUAAUAGUUAUGAAGAACAAUAUCAUAUGUAAUUAUGUUUGGAAUUAUUGACAUUGAGAACUUUUAUAUAUAGA